AUGGCGCGGCGUCACCCCGCUGCCACCUCAGCCAAGCGCCGCGCCGCCCCUCCAAACCCUAGCCCGCCCCCUCCGCCCGCCGACGGAUCGAUUCCGCUCCUCCACGCGGCGAGCCGCGGCGACCUCCGCCUCUUCAAGAGGCUGGUGAGAGAUCUGGAUAAGGGCAGGGGCCGUCCCAGGGAGGUGGUGGAGGCGGCCAAGGACCAAGGUCUCGUGGCGCUGCACUUCGCUGCCGGGAAGGGAAGGCUAUGGGUGUGCAGGUACCUGGUCGAGGAGCUAGGGGUCGAUGUGGACGCCGUCAAUGAUGGAGGUCGAACACCUCUGCUUGUGGCAUUGAUUCAUGGAAGCAUGAAUGCCGCCAGUUAUCUUCUUGAUCAUGGGGCAGAUCCAGGCAAAGCUGACUACAAAGGGUUCGCCCCACUUCACCAUGCUGCUAAAGCAGGAGACCGUAAAAUGACGGAACUCUUGCUUGCAAAAGGAGUUUCUGUUGACCCAGUAUCUUCUGAAGGGACACCACUUUAUGCCGCUGCCUUGGAAGGGCAUGAUGAAAUUUUGCAAAUUUUGUUGGAGAACAACACGGAUUGUAAUAAGAAAGUACCUGGUAUUGACACCCUUCUUCUUGUUGCUAUAAGUGCUCCCUCACUGAAAUGUGUCAAGCUCCUGGUUGAGGCUGGUGCGGAUGUCGAUGACGGUAUUCUAGCCCCUUUAGUUAUUGCUGCUGAGAUGAAAGGCUCAACUGCAUGCUUGAAGUUGUUACUGGAAGCUGGUGCCGACCCUAAUGUUCCUGACCCUUUUGGUAGGUUUCCAAUAGAACUCGCUGCACUGAGUGGUACAAGGGAAGGUGUUGAGAUCUUAUUUCCUGUAACUUCUUGUGUUCCAACUGUGCAUGAUUGGAGCGUUGACGGAAUAAUACGGCAUGCAAGAGUAGCUAUGAAACAUGGUGCACAUUCAAAUGUAAGAACAAUAGAACAGUUUAAGUUACUCGGGGUUGAGUCUCUCAAGAGAAACGAUUAUUUUAUUGCGGCAACACUGUACAGUGCGGUAUGCUACUACACCCUGUUUCUCAAUGUGUAA
RNAcentral lists this ribosomal RNA (1074 nucleotides) under Triticum aestivum (bread wheat). Its description in RNAcentral is "partial small subunit ribosomal RNA". Lineage: Eukaryota; Viridiplantae; Streptophyta; Magnoliopsida; Poales; Poaceae. The record is from RNAcentral.